UAAAAAAAAUUAAAAAAAAAAAUUCGUUCCCUUAUGUAAUCAAGCAUGAUAAUACCAAGUUGUGAAUAUUAUUUAGAAAUCCGUUUAUCAGAAGCAUCAAAUUAUAAAGACUACAGCAUUCAAGCAAAACCAAAACUGAAUUAAUAAAAUCUGUUCUCAUCGAGAAAAGAAAUCAUGAUAUUCACAGUACCAAACAAAGAAUUUCAAUAGCGGUAAUUACAAGAGGAACAAAAAG
This 235-nucleotide unclassified non-coding RNA is filed under the name Hevea brasiliensis (rubber tree). The record is from RNAcentral. Lineage: Eukaryota; Viridiplantae; Streptophyta; Magnoliopsida; Malpighiales; Euphorbiaceae.